RNAcentral lists this long non-coding RNA (275 nucleotides) under Lathyrus oleraceus (garden pea). RNAcentral describes it as "Pisum sativum (pea) long non-coding RNA (PSAT_LNC029283)". Lineage: Eukaryota; Viridiplantae; Streptophyta; Magnoliopsida; Fabales; Fabaceae. The record is from RNAcentral.
AGAAUUUCAACCUCUUUGUACCCUAUUUUGAUUUGGAAGAUUUUGUGGACGUGGGGCCUGUGCCCUUGGCUGUUGAUAAACGGGUGCCAUAGGUGUUUGUUGGUAUACUGGUGCUUGUUGAACAGGUUGAUAGACAAGAGCUUGUGUUUGAUUGAAAGCUGGUGUGACUGCUGCCCCAUAUGGUUGUUGAAUAUACUGCACCGGGUAAGUUGGUUAUUGUUGAGCAAAUUGUUGUUGUUGCUUCUUCCACGAGUGACUCCUUCUAUGACUGGUUG